RNAcentral lists this ribosomal RNA (252 nucleotides) under uncultured bacterium. RNAcentral describes it as "partial 16S ribosomal RNA". It matches the Rfam family "Bacterial small subunit ribosomal RNA", at positions 524 to 776 of the family's 1533-position model. The record is from RNAcentral.
UACGGAGGGUGCAAGCGUUAAUCGGAAUUACUGGCGUAAAGCGCACGCAGGCGGUUGAUUAAGUUAGAUGUGAAAUCCCCGGGCUUAACCUGGGAAUGGCAUCUAAGACUGGUCAGCUAGAGUCUUGUAGAGGGGGGUAGAAUUCCAUGUGUAGCGGUGAAAUGCGUAGAGAUGUGGAGGAAUACCGGUGGCGAAGGCGGCCCCCUGGACAAAGACUGACGCUCAGGUGCGAAAGCGUGGGGAGCAAACAGG